GGGGAUAGAGCUCAGUGGUAGAGCGCAUGCUUGGCAUGCACAAGGGCCUGGGUUUAGUCCCCGGUACCUCCA
This 72-nucleotide transfer RNA is filed under the name Camelus ferus (Wild Bactrian camel). It matches the Rfam family "tRNA". Rfam says of the family: Transfer RNA (tRNA) molecules are approximately 80 nucleotides in length. Lineage: Eukaryota; Metazoa; Chordata; Mammalia; Artiodactyla; Camelidae. The record is from Rfam by way of RNAcentral.